This 371-nucleotide ribosomal RNA is filed under the name uncultured organism. RNAcentral's name for it is "partial 16S ribosomal RNA". It matches the Rfam family "Bacterial small subunit ribosomal RNA", at positions 527 to 896 of the family's 1533-position model. The record is from RNAcentral.
GUAGGUGGCAAGCGUUGUCCGGAAUUAUUGGGCAUAAAGCGCGCGCAGGCGGUUCUUUAAGUCUGAUGUGAAAGCCCACGGCUCAACCGUGGAGGGUCAUUGGAAACUGGAGAACUUGAGUACAGAAGAGGAAAGCGGAAUUCCACGUGUAGCGGUGAAAUGCGUAGAGAUGUGGAGGAACACCAGUGGCGAGGGCGGCUUUCUGGUCUGUAACUGACGCUGAGGCGCGAAAGCGUGGGGGAGCAAACAGGAUUAGAUACCCUGGUAGUCCACGCCGUAAACGAUGAGUGCUAAGUGUUAGGGGGUUUCCGCCCCUUAGUGCUGCAGCUAACGCAUUAAGCACUCCGCCUGGGAGUACGGCCGCAAGGCUG